RNAcentral lists this ribosomal RNA (336 nucleotides) under Triticum aestivum (bread wheat). RNAcentral describes it as "partial small subunit ribosomal RNA". The record is from RNAcentral. Lineage: Eukaryota; Viridiplantae; Streptophyta; Magnoliopsida; Poales; Poaceae.
AUGGCCCUGGCUGGAAGGCUGCUCGUCCUCCUCGCCGUCGCGCUUCUCGCCGUCUCCAUCGCGGAGCACAAGGUGUUUGCCUCAGGAGCCGCAGAGCACGAGGAUAAUGUGUACCGAGUGAGCAAGGGAGGACAGGGCAGCCUCCAGCAAUACCAGUGCAAGCCGGCGUGCGAGUACCGGUGCAGCGACACCAAGUACAGGAAGCCGUGCCUCUUCUUCUGCAACAAGUGCUGCGACACCUGCCUGUGCGUGCCGUCGGGCUUCUACGGCCACAAGGACGAGUGCGCCUGCUACAACGACUGGAAGACCAAGGAGGGGCGCCCCAAGUGCCCCUAG